GUCUCAGUUCAGAUUGCAGGCUGCAACUCGCCUACACGAAGUCGGAAUCGUUAGUAAUCGCGGAUCAGCAUGCCGCGGUGAAUACGUUCCCGGGCCUUGUACACACCGCCCGUCACACCAUGGGAGUUUGUAACGCCCAAAGUCGGUGGCCUAACCUUUAUGGAGGGAGCCGCCUAAGGCGGGACAGAUGACUGGGGUGAAGUCGUAACAAGGUACC
Molecule: ribosomal RNA, 217 nt
Filed under: uncultured bacterium
Lineage: Bacteria
Description: partial 16S ribosomal RNA
Rfam family: Bacterial small subunit ribosomal RNA
Source: RNAcentral